RNAcentral lists this ribosomal RNA (424 nucleotides) under uncultured prokaryote. RNAcentral's name for it is "bacterial SSU rRNA". It matches the Rfam family "Bacterial small subunit ribosomal RNA", at positions 355 to 796 of the family's 1533-position model. The record is from RNAcentral.
UGGGGAAUCUUGGACAAUGGGGGCAACCCUGAUCCAGCCAUGCCGCGUGGGUGAAGAAGGCCUUAGGGUUGUAAAGCCCUUUCAGUCGUGACGAUGAUGACGGUAGCGACAGAAGAAGCCCCGGCUAACUCCGUGCCAGCAGCCGCGGUAAUACGGAGGGGGCAAGCGUUGUUCGGAUUUAUUGGGUUUAAAGGGUGCGUAGGUGGUUUAUUAAGUCAGUGGUGAAAGGCUACAGCUCAACUGUAGGAGAGCCAUUGAUACUGGUAGACUUGAGUUUGGUCGAGGUAGGCGGAAUUUAUGGUGUAGCGGUGAAAUGCAUAGAUACCAUAAAGAACACCGAUAGUGAAGACAGCUUACUAGGCCUGAACUGACACUGAGGCACGAAAGCGUGGGGAGCGAACAGGAUUAGAUACCCGUGUAGUCC